CCCCCUGAUCGCGGGGAAAUAACGGGGAAUUCCCGAUUGGAAACAUCCCAGAACCUUCCAGAACCUUCCAGAACCUCCUGGAACAUCCCAGAACCUUCCAGAGCAUCCCAGAGCAUCCCAGAGCAUCCCAGAACCUUCCAGAACCUUCCAGAGCAUCCCAGAACAUCCCAGACCAUCCCAGGCUCCAUCAUCAUUGGGAAUUCCCUGCUGGAAUCGGCCCUGGAACCUCCCAGAACCUUCCGGAACCUUCUGGAACCUCCCCACAGCAGCUCCGUCAUCGCUGGGGAGUUUGGGAUUCCUUGGGAAUCAUCCGUGGAACCUCCCAGAACCUCCUGGAACCUUCCGGAACCUCCCAGAACCUUCCAGAACCUCCCGGAACCUUCCAGAACCUUCCAGAACCUCCCAGAAGUUUCCAGAACCUUCCGGAACCUUCCAGCCCCCUCCGGCUCAUCCCACAUUUCCCCUCCCCCCUCGUUCCUGGCUGGAUUUUCGGGAAGGAGCCGAAUUUUGGGAUGGAGCAGGAAUUUUUGGGCUGGGAUUUUUGGGAUGGGAUUUUUGGGAUGGGACAGGAAUUUUUUGGGAUGGAUGGAACAGGAAUUUUUUGGGAUGGACAGAGUGGAAUUUCGGGGACCCCCCCCCCGUGCCAAUAAAAUCGGUUUCCACCCCUCCGUCUCCCCCUCCCCAAAUGACAGAAAACAGCCGAGACCCCUCCCCAAAACGGAGCAUCCAAAGGCUUUUAAUUCCCAAAAAUUCCCAAAAAAAACCCGGGAAAGGGG
Molecule: long non-coding RNA, 776 nt
Filed under: Cyanistes caeruleus (blue tit)
Lineage: Eukaryota; Metazoa; Chordata; Aves; Passeriformes; Paridae
Description: lncRNA (ENSCCEG00000013568.1)
Source: RNAcentral